This 253-nucleotide ribosomal RNA is filed under the name uncultured bacterium. RNAcentral's name for it is "partial 16S ribosomal RNA". It matches the Rfam family "Bacterial small subunit ribosomal RNA", at positions 524 to 776 of the family's 1533-position model. The record is from RNAcentral.
UACGUAGGGGGCAAGCGUUGUCCGGAAUUAUUGGGCGUAAAGAGCGCGUAGGCGGUCCGGUAAGUCGGUUGUGAAAGUCGGGGGCUCAACCCUCGGAUGCCGAUCGAUACUGUCGGGCUAGAGUCCGGAAGAGGCGAGUGGAAUUCCUGGUGUAGCGGUGAAAUGCGCAGAUAUCAGGAGGAACACCAAUGGCGAAGGCAGCUCGCUGGGACGGUACUGACGCUGAGGUGCGAAAGCGUGGGGAGCAAACAGG